RNAcentral lists this ribosomal RNA (468 nucleotides) under uncultured bacterium. Its description in RNAcentral is "partial 16S ribosomal RNA". It matches the Rfam family "Bacterial small subunit ribosomal RNA", at positions 28 to 507 of the family's 1533-position model. The record is from RNAcentral.
GACGAACGCUGGCGGCGCGCUUAACACAUGCAAGUCGAACGGAAAGGCCCUGCUUUUGUGGGGUGCUCGAGUGGCGAACGGGUGAGUAACACGUGAGUAACCUGCCCUUGACUUUGGGAUAACUUCAGGAAACUGGGGCUAAUACCGGAUAGGAGCUCCUGCUGCAUGGUGGGGGUUGGAAAGUUUCGGCGGUUGGGGAUGGACUCGCGGCUUAUCAGCUUGUUGGUGGGGUAGUGGCUUACCAAGGCUUUGACGGGUAGCCGGCCUGCGAGGGUGACCGGCCACAUUGGGACUGAGAUACGGCCCAGACUCCUACGGGAGGCAGCAGUGGGGAAUAUUGCACGAUGGGCGGAAGCCUGAUGCAGCAACGCCGCGUGCGGGAUGACGGCCUUCGGGUUGUAAACCGCUUUCGCCUGUGACGAAGCGUGAGUGACGGUAAUGGGUAAAGAAGCACCGGCUAACUACGUG